Molecule: ribosomal RNA, 468 nt
Filed under: uncultured bacterium
Lineage: Bacteria
Description: partial 16S ribosomal RNA
Rfam family: Bacterial small subunit ribosomal RNA
Source: RNAcentral
GACGAACGCUGGCGGCGUGCUUAACACAUGCAAGUCGAACGGAAAGGCCCUGCUUUUGUGGGGUGCUCGAGUGGCGAACGGGUGAGUAACACGUGAGUAACCUGCCCUUGACUUUGGGAUAACUUCAGGAAACUGGGGCUAAUACCGGAUAGGAGCUCCUGCUGCAUGGUGGGGGUUGGAAAGUUUCGGCGGGUGGGGAUGGACUCGCGGCUUAUCAGCUUGUUGGUGGGGUAGUGGCUUACCAAGGCUUUGACGGGUAGCCGGCCUGAGAGGGUGACCGGCCACAUUGGGACUGAGAUACGGCCCAGACUCCUACGGGAGGAAGCAGUGGGGAAUAUUGCACAAUGGGCGGAAGCCUGAUGCAGCAACGCCGCGUGCGGGAUGACGGCCUUCGGGUUGUAACCCGCUUCCGCCUGUGACGAAGCGUGAGUGACGGUAAUGGGUAAAGAAGCACCGGCUAACUACGUG